RNAcentral lists this long non-coding RNA (17287 nucleotides) under Eucalyptus grandis. RNAcentral describes it as "long non-coding RNA (EGRA_LNC003212)". Lineage: Eukaryota; Viridiplantae; Streptophyta; Magnoliopsida; Myrtales; Myrtaceae. The record is from RNAcentral.
AUGACUAUCACAAGUCUUAGGACUUAAGUGCACAAAAUAAAAGUUUUAGGACUCAAAUGCCUCUAUCAUAACAAGUUUCAAGACUCCUGUUGUAAUGUCCCCCAAAAACUAUGUAUACGAAAAAAUAGUACAAUUACAUAAAUGAAUAAACACUAUAUGAGGGGAUAACAAAAUGAAAAUUCUAAUUCCUACAUUAAUGAUACCAAAUAACAGGAACUUAAGUCGUACCCGGGUCAUUACUGCUAUUCCCAGCAGGGUUAGAUGGCGAAGCAUUAGGUAUGGUAUUCUGAGACUUUGUCUCCAUUGUCAGCAUCUUCAAAGAUAUCUUCCUUAAAUAAUCGGACUAAAAGGGAAAGGAAGCAGAAAUCACUUCAUCACUUAAUCAAAUUGGAAAGAAAAUGAAGCAUAUAUAAAACCUUAGCACAAUAUUACAGCAAUGAGUAAACCUAAUUUCCCUGGGGCAAAGCUAAACGUAAAUAUUUAACAGUUCCGGUUACUAUAUGGAUGCAUGCAUGAAUGAUAAAAAUUCUCAACAAAUUAUGCAAACAAAAGAACGCUUCUCUUAAUUCUAAGCACAAGCCUAUCCAGUUUGUUUAUGCAUCCUCUAUCCACAUAGAAAUUUUGUACCAAUUAAUCACAAAAGGCAUGGACAUCAUAUAAUACCUGGCUUGUUGCAGCAGUGUAAAUUUUUUCCUCAAAUCGCACGGCAAUUUUCUUGAGUUCUUGCAAACCCUCUGGACCAGAAACAGGAAGGUGUCUCUUCAAGGUCUCCAUUCUGCAUAUCAAAAGAGAUUUGCACUUGAGACGAAAUUCUUCUUACCAAUAAUUUUUUCUUUCCUCGACGAUAAAUAAGAUUUCACUAAGAAGGUACCAAAGGGGUGGCACCCCUGACAGAAUGGCUUUAGGUAGAAGCCACCCAUAAACAAAUUCAUGGACAAAAGACUUUUUUUAACAUUUCCAACAAACUAGACAUAUGAAACCGGACUUUCCUGCUACCAAAAGUGAGGAGUGUACAACCAAUUAUCCCUAAAAAGAAUCCCACAAGUAUUCAAUUCCUUGAAAUGCCCUUUUGUUCCUCUCUCUCUCUCCAAAUGAGCCUAAAAAAAGGAGAAAUGGUGAUCACUCUCUUUCCGAGCCACAAACUGAAAGCCCCUCUCCAAGCCCAAAUUUCAUGUCGCAAUGUUCACUCCCAAUAUUGCAAAAACUGCAGCCCAGAAUCUUUCUGGUGCAGGUACAAUGUCAAAUUGAGUGAUUCACGCUCUCUUCUUCAGUCGUUGCACAAAAAACACCCAUUAGCCUGUACUUUCCCCUCCUCUGAGCAUUAUUUAAAGUAAGAAUACAUCCCCAAGCAUCUCAAGCAAAAAACGAAGCAUUCAAUGGGACCUUGACUUUCCAAAUAGAUGUACAUGGGAAAAGUGUACUCUGUCGUAAUAGCAUCUGAGUAGAAGGAGAUCAGAACAAUAGCAUUUGACAGAAAAAGUUCCCAGAGUCACAGCAAUUCCACGUAGCCCAUCGUCCUCAAAUCUAACCUCGCUUGAUAAGACAACCCAAAAAAAUUCAAGAAGCUUCAUGCUUCUAAUCUAGAGCACUACGCAAGAUAUUAAUCUCCCACGUCGUUUCUCCCAAAAAUCAUCCACCCUAGCUCUCUUGUUUCUUUCUAGUGCAUACCCAUCCAGGAAUAACUGUUUGAACGCAGUGCCUCCACAGCAUAUGUCAUCCCAUGACAUAGUACUCCUACUAUUCCCCAACUCAAAUAGAAAGUCUGCUUUUGAAAGCAUCCCAUCCUUGCUCAAUGUCGAAUCCAUGUGCUCCUCAACUAGAUUUAGUCAUCUAAUCUGUAUCUUUGAAACCAAGUACCCUCCUCCAGUUCUAGUUUUCUCCCCAUUAAAUCAACACAACCAUUUCCCAAGCAAAGCUUCAUAUACAAGAACCAACGACUUUACCCCAACCCCUCAUUAACACCUCAUUGCCCACAUACCUCUUCCAGUAACAGCUUAUACAGACCAAUAAAUCUGAGAUCAAUACAAGAUAAUACAACCUACAAGCAAUGAGACGCUUAAAAUUCCUCAGGUUCCGGAUACAUGAAUUUUUGUUACCAGCAUAACAGGAAAUCAUCCUGCAACUGAUUUCCUCCCAAACCUUACCUCUACACUUAAGAAAGAAUUACAUCCAAAAUACAAUAACAAGAGUGGCCCCCCCUACAUACCUGCCAAAUCCCACAUCGCAACCUAACCCAAACUAUCUAACCAAAUAGAAUUUACAGCGAAAGAUUCCUCAGAAUUCACGUUGGGCCUCGACCAAUUAACAGGACCAUAUUGCAAAACCAUUACUUCCUUUAACAUACUAAACCCUCGGAAAUCACUCCUAAGCAAGGAUCCCUCAUGAACUCCACACUUCUCCCUGCAAACCGAUGAGACAUUAAAAGACCCAAGCGAAGGAAGGAGGCACUCACAUCGUUUUGACGACCCUAUCCCGCGAUUCGAGCGGCAACUCAGCCCUCCAAUCGCCCCCGUCGAGCUCAGCUUCAGUGCCCCCGCCUCCCACACCGGCCGGCGGCGUCGGCCUCCAGUCAUUGUUAUCCAUCAUUAUCACUCCUCAACGAAACCCAACACUCGCAAGGGCCUUAUACAAGCAACAAAAACCCACAAUCAGCACACACCCACCCGAACGCAGAUUCAGGAACCCAAGAAAGAACCCUCCACCCACGUCCUCCCAAAAAGCCCUAGGAAACCCAAAAACAAGAGUCGAUGAAAAGCACGAAAGAUCACUCUUUGGCCGAAAUGCGAAGGGGGGGGGGAGAGCGAGGGAAGGGACGCAAGUCGAGAUGAUUGGGCGAGAGGAACCCAAAAAGCAAGGCUGGCUUGUCUGUUCUCUCUGGUUCCUUAUUUUCUUCGCCUGAGGGAAGGUGGAUUUGAUUUGGACCUCCUCGUCCGAAAACGGGUCGGACCGGGUCACGGGUAAUGGAUCGGGUUCUAGGUCGCCCUAGGCCAGACCAAUACUUUUUUGAAAAAUUGACUUCAUUUCCAACAUUUAUUCCAAAAUUUCUCCUUAACUAAUAGUCCUAAUUGUGAAUUUAAGCUCCAACAUCGAUUCUUUUUUAGCAUAAUGUGGUGGGGGUCUUUGGCUCUAGCUAAAGUUUCUCUAAAUGCUACUUAACUGAAGCCUGAAGCCGCUCAUGCUUCAAUUGAGCAAUUAAUCCACGGAUUCUACAUUAAUUAAGAAAAUAUGCUUCAAUUGAGCAAUUAACCCAUAGAUACUUUAGAAUGAUCACUUAAAAGUAGCGACAACUUUCAAACUUAGUGUCUAAUCUAGAAAUGACCAUAGUGAUCCUAAGAAUAUUAAAAUUAAGCCAAUAAUACUUGUUCUUCCUCAAGAUUAUGAAAAAAAAAAAUUGUUCCACUUUUCACUUAUGGCCCAAUUCACUUUACUCUUAAAAAGUAGCAAUUUUUCAUUGCCCAUGGAACCCACUUCUCUUUUUAAUUCUAGAAAAUAUAAUAAUCAUUCGAACAAUUGUUCAGCAAACCUUCUUAAUCUUAUCAAGAGAGAGAAAAUAAGUGUACACGUACAUGGCGUGCUUGAGAUCUUGUCGUUAUUUAAUUUUCUUUAAAUUGUUGUCAUAAGCCAAUAUCAAACCAUUAUCAAAAAUCAAUUAUGGCAGAAAUUCUCCAGUUCAGUCUCAUCACAAUGAAUAACCAUAGGAUUGAAUAAAGGACAUGUUUUUUUUACUUACAAGAGCCUUUUCUUAUAGCCUUCCAUUCUAAAUUUCAAAAUAUAAAAGAAUCUCUAUAAUGACCAUAAAAGUAACACAUUCAUAUAGUUGGAAAUGAAAGUCAAAUAUAAAACACUACAAAAGGAAACGAAGAACAGGCAUAAGCCAAUUUCUAAUCACCUAUUUAUUGAAUAAACAUUGAACCUACCUAACUUUCAAAACAUAAACAAUAAUAUUGUUAUAGAGGCAAAAAAUUAAAAAAGGACUCCUUGGCUGAUUUAAAAGCAUCCUCGAUACCUCUUCCCCUUGGAAAAGGCAAAUAAGAAGAGAGAGAGAGAGAAACUUUCAAAACAUAAACAAUAAUAUUGUUAUAGAGGCAAGGCGAAAAAUUAAAAAAGGACUCCUUGGCUGAUUUAAAAGCAUCGUCGAUACUUCUUCCCCUUGGAAAAAGGCAAAUAAGAGAGAGAGAGAGAGAGAGAGAGAGAGAGAGAGAGAGAGAGAGAGAGAGAGAGAGAGAGAGAGAGAAGAAGAAGAAGAAGAAGAAGAAGAAGAAGCCCUCAGGCUUCGCCAGCCCUCAAGCUUCGCUAGCCCCUUCUUUUCGAAUCAAGUAACAAAAUCUAUGGUGAUAAAGUCAUUACUAAUAGCUCGAAAACUUUCUUAUAAUCUUGCACCGCUUGCACUUGUCGACAAAAAGCAAACACAAACACUACAAUUAGGGUCUCCCGGUACUCACAGAAAAUCGGGUGCCUUGCGCAGCUCUCUCUUGUUUAUUUUGUUAUUCAUUUUUUUCCGAACUUUUACUUUAUACGUGAUUUAUUGAAUUUAUAUUUAUGGAGAUUACAUAAAAAUAUACACUCUUAUCCAUUUCAUAAUCCAUUUAUUCAUGCAUCCAUAAUUUGCACUUGCAUGGAUUAUCGUACAUUUAAAGCAAAGUCCAACUCUUUGACUGAGCUUUUCCCUACUCUUUUAAGCUCAAAAUUUGCGUGAUGUGAGUUGAGCAGCAGAUCCACCAUCUGCACCAUAUUUGACUCAAAAUAUUUUCAAAGAACAUAAAUCACUUGUUAAAGUGUGAGAGGGUUAUUUUGAUCAUUAAUACUGAGAAGGUUAUUAUGGUCAUUAAGUGUUAUUUAAUUAAUAUUAAAGUGUGAGGAGUGGCAAACACUAAUCAAUGUGUAUGCUCUCUUCUUUUGUUCUAUAUCAAUUUCUACAUGGUAUCAAAGCCAUAGUAAAGAUAAAAAUAAAAAAUCUAGUCAUUGCAAAUUUAGAUCUAACAUUGGCAAGUGUCGUCCAACCUAAUUUGGAACCGCCCAGCCUUGUUGAGUCUAGAUUUGACAGUGGGGAGCAUUGUUGGCUUAGAUCCAGCGUUGCCUAAUCUCGUCUAGCCCAAAUCCGGUGUCAUCUAGCAUCGCAUGUUCUCGUUCAUCCUAGAUGUAACAUCGAAAACCAAGAUCUUAUGCCGAUCGAGCACGUCCAUCCCUUCGAGUUGAUUUAAACUCUGUGGUUGCUAAUCUAAGUUCUUUGGUCCUCUAGGAUUCGUUUGCAUAAUUGUUGUUCUCUAUGUUCUUUAAAAGAAGAAGAAGAAGUAGCAACAACUUGCUUGAUGGGGUUGCUUGCCCUGUUCACCUCGAAAUUGAUGUUGGAUAAGGAGGUUUUUGUUUGGGCAUAAUUUGUAGUUUUAUUGUAUGUUUUCAUGAAACAUAUGAAUUUGAUUGAAGUGUGGUAGAGCUUUGAACUAUUUGAAACAAAUCAUGAUAGUUUGUUGAAUUGAAUUAUGGUUGGUGGAAUAUGAGUUUGAUUAUUGUGUUGAAAAUUAUUGUGUUAUAUUUGUACACAUUGGGUGGUUAUGGUAGAGAAUAAAGGUGCAGUGGCUGAAAUUAUGUCUACAUCCUCUAGUUGACAAAGAAGAAUUUAGAAUUUCAACAAUGGAGGAAAAUCGUGUUGUUAGUAUUGAUUGGGAGAGAGCAACAAAAUCAUCUAACAAGUAAUAGGUCUACCUCUUAUACAAACUAUGAAUGCCAAAAUUCUUGAUCAAAUGUUGAACUCCAUGGAAUCCCAAGUUGCAAAUUUGGUUACAAAUUUAUGCAAUGAAGGAGCUGUGGAACUACUUGAAUUUUCUUUAUUCUAGGCAAAAUAAUCUUUAAGGAUUUAUAAAGUAUCCCAUGAAUUGUGUGGGGUUAAUAGAAAGGGCCGGCCACUAACCUAGUAUUUUGCUUAUUUUAAACGUAUAUAUGAGGAGCUUAAUUCUCUGCCAUCCAUUACCUCUAAUGCAAGAACAACGAGAGCAAUUGGCUAUUAUGGGUCUUUGGGAGGACUAGGACCAAAAUAUGAUGUAGUCCAUUCCCAAAUAGUUGGACACUCAUUGAGACGUUUGCUGGACCUCAUGUAAACCACAUAAGAGUGCAUUCUUCAUAGGUGAUAGCUCGUUGACAGGCCAAGGAAAUUAUAGUAGUGGUCGAGGUCAUAGUGGUGGCCAAGGUUUUGGUAGAGGCCAACCACCCUCAUAUAGUAAUACUUAUAGUGGCACAUAAGGUAAUAUCGAAUUUAUCUGGACUUGUCAUUACUAUGGUUUACGUUAACACAUUCAAAGAUUCUGUUAUAAGCUUCACAGAAGGCUGCCUCAACUAGAUGCAGCUAAUGUAGCCGAUGCAAUAGAAUCUAGUACCUCUAUCAGCCCUCUAAAGCAGGAAGGUUAUUAGAAUGACGAAGAAGGAAUUUGCUAGGUACAAUUAUUUCUAGAUUUCUAAGCUAGUUUCAUGGUCCUCCUCCAUUGGUCCAGAUAGGUAAUACAACAACAUGCCUUUCUUCUGCCUCUUGCCUCUGAGUUAUUGAUUCAGGUUCUACCAAUCAUAUGACUGGAGUUUCAAGUAUCUUUUCUAACUUUCACGAGGCUAUGUCCAAUAUGAUAUUAGCUAGUGAUUUAUUAUUCAUAAUAAAUUGGAUAGACACAAUUCUCCUAACAUCCUCCAUAUAUUUAUCUUUAGUCAUGUAUCUCCCAAAUUUUCCAUUUAAUUUUAUGUAUGUCAAUCAUCCUACCAAAACAUACAAUUGUUCAAUAACUUUACAUCUUGAUUCUUGUGUUUUUCAGGACUUGAAGACGAGGAAGAUGAUUACUAAAGGACAGGGGGCUAUACUUAUUUGAUGAUAAUACCGAUGUUGCUUGUUUUGCGGCUUCCCCACAUCAAAUCCAUUGUUGUUUGGCCCACCUCUCAUUGGAAAGUUUAGAGAAGUUAGAUCCUAGUUUCAUUCUUUAUCCAGUCUUGAGUGUGAAUCAUGUCGGUUUGGCAAAUUGCAUCUUAUCAGUUAUUGUCCAAGAGUCAAUAAAUAGACUUCCCAAUCGUCUGUGUUAGUUCAUUUUGAUAUAUGGGGUUUAUGUUCUAUGUUGACACCUAAAUUUUUGCAUAAAUUACCCAAAAAGAGAAAAAUAAAUAAGAAAUAAAAUAAAAUUACAUAGCAAGGAAUUUUAGGCGCAUCUUACUCUGAUAAGGAAUAAAGAUUUGAUAUAUUCAAAUUAUAUACACCAAGGGGUAUAUUUCGCAGAAAAUUAGAAGAUUUCGAUGGAAUAUUUUAGACGCAAUACAUAUUUGGCGUUAAUCUUCGGGUAAUAUGCAUUUUUGACAUAAUAAAAGAAAUAUCAGAUCUUUCAAUCGUCGAUGGGCGUGAACAAAGGAAAGAAAAUGAAAUAAAAUAUUCCACCGUGACCUCUCGAAAUCUAAUCGAAAAGAAAAUUUUAUUUCUUUCAUACGUGGACUCAAUUUCGUUGCAUAUAAAAAGGGGGCUUUUCUCAGUUUCUAGGUUAAAAAAAUUCAAUACGAAAAAAAGAAUUUUUUCUUUCUUGAGGCUUUUCCUGAGGACUUUUCCUUCGGUUUCUCUUGAGUAGAAAAGUCAACAAAAGAGAAAAAAGGAAAAGAGGGCAGAGAGAAGAGACGUGACAAGCCAGCAGAAAAAAAGAAAAGGAAAAAAGAAGAAAAGCAGAGGACUGUUCGUCUUCUUCGCUGCCCUCGCCGACCCCCUGCGCCGCCUCGCCUGCUGCGCCAGCCACCGCCGCAACGACCUGCAGCAACCCACGGAGCCGCCGCCGUCCCGUCUGCUGCCGGAUCCCUCCAUCGCCCGCGAGCCGGCGUCGCUGCUGCUGUCCAGAGGCCGCGACGCUGCUGCAGCCAUCGUCUCCGCCCGCGCCUGCACCUCCGCCCCGGCGUCCCUUGCUGCCCGAGCUACCGGCCACCAUCUAGCCAGCGCCUCCUCCGCCCGCCUCGCCUGCUGCGCCUCCGCCGCUCGAUCCUCCGCGACGCCACCGCUACCUCUGCAGCCGCGAGCACCCGCAGCAACCUUCGACUCCGCCCGACAACAUGCUUCUCUGCCACAGCCCGUCGUCGACGCCGUAGCAGCUCCCCUCAUCCGCGAGCUCGCACCGCCCAGCAGCCAGCAGCCCGCGACCCCGCGCCCGACUCCGCUGCCAACGCCAGCGUCCGAGCUCCGCCCGCGACCCAGCAGUCCGACGACCUUGCCUCAGACUGCCCUGCGCUCGCCGCGCCUCACCCGCGCCUGCACCAGCUCCCGACGCCCUCUCCGCCUGCUGCCCAAGCGCCGCUCUUCUUUGGUCGUCAGCUGUCGACGCCUCCUUUGCCGUUCAUCGCCGCUGGUCGCAGCGCGAGCGCCACCCAGCAGCCCGCGCCCGACUCCUCCGCCGCCCCACCGUCCCCGACCCCGGGCGAAUCGUCGGUCGCAAAUCCCGCGCACCGGCCCCUUUUCUUUUUCUUUUUCUUUUUAAAUAAAAAUCAGUCAAGGUAGUUUAUUUUAUUAUUUUUUAUCUUUUAUUUUUUGUCAGGUUUAGUUGUUAUUGCUCAAAUUGAAACAUUGGAUGUGGACGUUCAUUUUAUAAAUAUUUUAGGCAUUAUCCGUAGGAUUUUGCCCAAAAUUAUUGUAAUUAUUAAUGUGAUCCGUAGGACAUCGAAGCUUAUUUUUUUUAAUUAUAUUGAUUUUGGGGCAUUUCGAUAGUAUUUUAAUUCUUGAAUCAUUAUAAUUAUUAAUUUAAUUCGUAAGAUUUCGAAUUAAAUUUUUAAUUAUUUUAAAUAUUUGUAUAUGUUGUGAUGUUUAUGGUUAAAAUAAUCGUUAAUUUAAUUUAUGAGAUAAUGGAUUAUUUUUUCGAUUAUUUUAAUCAUUCAUUUGAUGAAUAUCUUGAUUAGUUUAGAUAUAAUGUUUAUCUGAUAAUUGCUUCUCUUGAAAAACACUAAAUCCUUUUUUAAAAAGAUAAUCAAAUCUUGCAUCGAAAUAUGUUGGUUUCAUAAAUUAGGAUUACACAUAGAUUAAAGUUAUAUUUAAAUAAUUUUUUUUAUAAAUAGGGUCUUAGAUAAUGUUUGUACAUUUUAAUAAUCUCUUUUCUAAAAAAAAAUGGUUUUUAAAGAUAGGAUAGGGUUUAAGUCAAAUUAAUUCCUAAACUAAAUUAGAUAACCAUUCAUUUUGUAUAGUUUAAUUAGGGUUUUUAUUAAUUCAGAUUUUUAAUGAAAAAUAUAUAUAAAUAUUAUGUGCAUGUCAAUUAAUUUGCACGUUCAUUUAAUUAGAAAUAGCUUGUUAGUAAAAUUAGGUCACGUAGUUAAAGUGUAUGUUUUAUGGCAAAGUUAUAAUUUCAAGAUAAAAGAAAACCCAAAAAAAUUGCUUACUUUGUGCGUUUAAAAUUUUUUAUGCAAUUUAUUUGAUUUGUUGAGUGUUUAAUAAUGAUUGAGCAUCUGUAUGAUCUUCCAAUCGCAUUAUAGUAUUUGAGGUUAAAAUAAAUCCAAACUGCCUGCAAAGAGCAAAGAAAAGUCUAGUAUAACCAAGUCAUCGUAUCCAAAGUUUUUGGUUCAUAAGAGUAUGAUAAUUUUCUCAUUAUUUUAUUUAGGUGACUAAUCGACCUAUCAUGAACUGAUUAGUAGCAACUCCUAGUUAAAAUUCAUUUACAUGAUAAAAAAUUUGAAAUUAAGUCGCGAAUUGAUAUGGACUUAGGAAAGUCCGAUCUAAGUCUAGGCUUAGCAAUCCAUUAGCCAAACCCCUAGGUGAUCCAGCCUGCUUCCGGGAGGUUGCAACAUUAUAUUUUUUCGAAGUUGGGUUUAAAGUACUUUGUUACAAAAUACAUACUCAAUUUUCAAUUCAUGUUUGUAUUCUUCGAAGUGAUAAUGCCAAAUAUAUGUCUAAUCUUUUUUUUUUGGUAUUUUAAUCUUUAAAAAAAAAAAUUCAUGACCCAAUGGGCAUCCAUCAUCAAUCUUCCUAUUCGAAGUUAAUCGAUCAUUGAUGUUUGAAAUGAAGGCAGACAAAUCCUUUUAGGUUGACACUAUGAUGAUUGCAUGUUAUCUUAUCAACUACACACCAUCUCUAUUCUUAAGGCUGCAACUGCACACUCUUCUUUUUUCUUCUAAAUCCUCUUUUCAUCUACCACUUCGUAUAUUUGGUUAUGUUUGCCAUAUUUGUGACAAUUAUCCAAGGCUUUCCAAACUAGGCCCUCAGUCUCUUAAAUGCAUUUUUGUGGGAUAUUAUCGUAUGCAUAAAGGUUACCACUGUUAUUGUUCUUCUUUGCAUAUGUUUCCUUCUUAGAGUCUAAUAUUUAUUCUGAUGAAUGAAUGGAACCUUCUAUAGUGGAUGAUGAUUUCUUUACAUAUGUUAUUGUGAAAUCCACUUUGGAUUCUGCACCAAUUCCUCUACUAGUCCAACAUGUAUAUGCUAAUCGUCCUCAUUAGCAUAUGAGUCAUUUGCAGAUGUACCUUUGCCUAUUUUGUCUCCUUCAUCCUUUAAGCCUGAGAUAAGUUUGCUAUUGCACAUCGCAAAGGAGUUCGUAGUUGUACCCACCACCCUAUUACACAGUUUGUCUCCCGUUCUAGUAUGUUUACCUCUUUUCAAACUAGUCAAGUCACUUGUCUCCCGUUCUAGUAUGUUUACCUCUUUUCAAACUAGUCAAGUCACCAUUCAUAAUCCUAUUCCUAAAACUAUUGCGUAGUAGACCAAAAUCAAACUCGGGUUCUUAUUCCUUUACUUACAAGGAAGACUGUUAUUGGAUAUAAAAUGGUGUUUACUGUCAAGCUUAAUAUUUGUGGUUCCCUUGCUUGCCUUAAGGCUAGAUUUCUAAAGGUUAUGCACAAGUUUAUGAGGUCAAUUAUGGUGAUACUUUUCCUCCAAUGGCUAAGAUGACAUCUGUUCGCCUUUUGCUUUCUUUAGCUACUAUUACUUUUUGACCUAUUUUUUAGCUUGAUGUUAAAAAUGCCAAUCUUCAUGGUUAUUUACACGAAAAGGUGUAUAUGGAGAUGUCUACCAUUUGAAGACAUCUUUAUAUGGUUUCAAACGAUCUCUCAUAGCUUGGUUUGGAAGGUUUACUGAGGUGGUGCUCCUGUUUAAAUUUAGUGGAGAUCUUUUUAUGUUUUACAGUUUUUUCUGGAGUUAGUUGGAUAUUGCUUGUAGUUUUUGUAGGUGAUAUUAUCACAAGUGGAGAUGAUUUUACAAAGACUUGUAUUUGCAACAAUUGUUUCAGACAAAGAAUUUGGGACAACAUAGAUAUUUUUUGGGUAUCGAAGAGGCACAUACAAUGAAAAGUAUUCACAUAUCAUAUCACAAGUAUGUUUUAGAUUUGCUUAAAAAGAUAACAAUGUUAGGACUUAAACCGCUAGAUACACCAAUUAUGAGAUUGGUAGAGGACGACAAGUUUUAGAUGAUCCUGAAAGGUAUCGAAGACUUGUUGGAAAAUUAAAUUAUGAGAUUGCACUCAACCUAAUAUUUCCUUUCAUAUGAGUGUUUGAAGUCAGUUUGUGUUUCCCCCCAUAUCUCUCGUGGAGAUGAUGUAGUCAAAAUUUUAAAAUACUUGAAGAAAGCUCCAAGUCGUGGUAUUUUCUAUAGUGAUCAUAGUCACAAAAGGGUGGAAGCAUCUUUGGAUGUUGAUUGGACCGAGUCUCCUACAAAUAGGAGGUCUACAUCAAAUUAUUGCACCUUUGUAGGAGGAAACCUAGUGUCUUAGAAGAGUACAAAGCAAAGUAUUGUGACUAUAUCUAGUGCAUAAUCAGAAUAUAGAUUUACGGCCUAAGUUACUUGUGAGUUAGUCCACAUGCGUCAAUUAUUAGUUGAACUUGAAUUUAAAGAUUCUAUGCUAAUGGAAUUGUGGUGUGAUUAUUAGGCAAUUAUCCAUAUAUUGCUUCAAAUUCUGUAUUCCAUGAGUGUACUAAGCAUAUUGAAAUUGAUUGUCACUUUGUCCACGAGAAGCUUUAAGCUGGAGUUAUUUCUACUAUUCAUGUUAGGAUUAAUGAACAAAUAGUUGAUAUUUUCACUAAGUCUUUAGGCAUGAUAUUUUCACUAAGUCUUUAGGCAGUAGUAAAGUUGAGUAUAUUUGUAACAAGCUAAGCAUGCUUAAUAUUUCUACUACAGCCUGAGAGAGAGUGUUAAAUUAUAAGAGGAUUAUUAUAAUCAUCUAGGAUACACAUGAUAACAAUUCUGUUUCUUUGUUUUUCUAUCUUUCUAUUUCCGGAAACAAGUUUGGAAUAAAAAUUGUGUUUAUCCAUUUGAUAAUGUAAUUUCAUUUUUCUAUUUCUAAAAUAAAUUUUUACUCCAGAAAUAGGUUGGAAAAAAAUAAAAAGUGAAAACUUUAUAUAUUUUUAUUUAUUUUUAAAACAAAAUUGAGAAAUAAAAACUCUUCUCGAUUGCCGUAAGUUGUCUCGCCAAUUGCCUGCCACCACCCCACUCAUCAUUGCUCGCCUCCGGUCGUCAUUGCUCGCCUGCCUCUCAUCACCACUCAAGAAGAAGAAAUUUUGCAUUAUUAUUAAACAAAUUUCUAUUCUAAAAAUAUAAAUUAUAUAGUUGUAAAAUACAUACUUUUGCUCAGAAAUAAAAGGCAAAAUUUGGUAACAUUUCUAUUCCUCUAUUUUUAUAUUCUUUCGUUCCCCAGACAAAGUUCACUUCAAGCUCUUAUUUAAAAAAAUUAAUGGCAUUUCGGAUCCUUAUUUAAAGCAAUGUCCACUUCAAGCUAUUUUUAUAUUCUUUUGUUUUUAUAUCUUUCUAUUUCCGGAAACAAGUUUGGAAUAAAAAUUGUGUUUAUCCAUUUGAUAAUGUAAUUUCAUUUUUCUAUUUCUAAAAUAAAUUUUUACUCCAGAAAUAGGUUGGAAAAAAAUAAAAAGUGAAAACUUUAUAUAUUUUUAUUUAUUUUUAAAACAAAAUUGAGAAAUAAAAACUCUUCUCGAUUGCCGUAAGUUGUCUCGCCAGUUGCCUGCCACCACCCCCCUCAUCAUUGCUCGCCUCCGGUUGUCAUUGCUCGCCUGCCUCUCAUCACCACUCAAGAAGAAGAAAUUUUGCAUUAUUAUUAAACAAAUUUCUAUUCUAAAAAUAUAAAUUUUAUAGUUGUAAAAUACAUACUUUUGCUCAGAAAUAAAAGGCAAAAUUUGGUAACAUUUCUAUUCCUCUAUUUUUAUAUUCUUUUGUUCCCCAAACAAAAUCCGCUUGCAUUUCGGAUCCUUAUUUAAAGCAAUGUCCACUUUAAGCCCUUAGUUAAGAAAAUGAUGACACUUGGAGCCCUUAUCAAAAAAACUAUGUCUAAAUAGAAAUUGUUCCCGUUAACAUAAAUGUUAUCAAAUACCACCGAAAUGGCCAGAAAUAAAUUUCUAACAGAAUGUUAAUCAUUCGACCCUAAGUCUUAUUAAACUAAUAAUAAAAGUGCGAGUGGCAAACAUUAAUCAGUUUGUAUGCUCUCCUCUUUUGUCCUCUAUCAAUUUCUACACUAAGAAAGAAGAAAAACUUUAAUAUAGUAGAUGACAACUACUAAUAACAGCAGCACCCAAGCUGCAUUCCGGAGUUGGAUGUUGGAACGCCUUUGAUGAGUCUGGAGUUGCGAAGGAAGCUGCUGCUUAACCUGCUGUAGCUGCUGCUGCAGAAGCUGUUGUUUGAGUUGCUGCUGCAUUUGAGGUUGCUGAUAUUGUUGCUUAAGCUGCUGUGUCUGUAGCAUCUGUACUCACAAUAAAUAUCUAAAUAAAGCUCGACUCUUAUAUCCAACUAGACCGCAUCAGUGUCAUUUAUGCAUAAGCCAAGUAUGAAGAAUAAUAAAGAUUAGCAACUUGCACAAAGCUACAGUUUCAUCAGAAUGCCAACCACCACCUGGAUAACAUUAAAAAAAGCAAGUAAAACAGGAAAAGGAGAUUGGCCGACACGGACAAAAUGAUGGCAAUUUCUUUUCUACAUUAAGACAUCAAUGGCUUCAUCUUUUAUUACUCCUUAAUAAAGGAAAAACAGCAAUCUUAACGCAACACAGAAACAUUCUUAAGUAAACACGAUUCAGUAGUUAAAUGACUUCUCUUUCCAUUUCAUAAAACUACUCUUUCCCUCUUCAUAAUGUUGUGAGAAAAAGGGGAAUGCCGAUCAGAAAGCACUCUGUGGCAACUUCUCAUGCUUAACUUACAGAUUAAUAGCAGCAUUAUCGAUACCUGAUCCUCACAACAUAUAAGCUUGGCUAGACAUUGCAGUUUUUAAUAACAAGAAUUGUUAGAUAAAUGUUAAUGCGACUGGCCUGGAGUCACUACAUAAUUAGAAAUUCACCUUUGGUGGAGGGAUUCCUAGGUUUACAAGCCAUAAGCACCUGUCCAUACUACACUACGUAAAGAAUUGGCUAACGAAAUUCCACUCAAGGGCUUUCAAAUUUCUCUGAUUUAAAUUCCUGUCACCAAAAUGUAUGAUGUUAUACAAAUUCUAGCAAGGGAAUUGGCUCCUGUUCAGCAGUUAUUAUUGUCAUACUGGUUAGUGCACAAGGCCACAUUACUAUCCCCAAAUUAUAGUUCAUUAUGCAACUUCCCCACAUUCUAAUACUUUGGACAAAAGAUUAUGCUGUCGACAUUCUGUUGCCAAAUACCCAUUUCUGUCUCACAGCUAUAUUUGCUAUCGAGUCAAUAUCCAAACCAAUAUCUCAUGUGAAUGAAUUCCUUUCCCAGGCUAGACCUCAUAAAACUACUAAUACUCUUAUCUGUGCCUUUGUACAUUUGUAUCCUACUAAACCAUAUAUGUAAAGUCUAGCAAGAAAGGUCAGUCAUCAACAAACUAUUAAAACCAGUAGAAAAAUAUGAGAAGUAUCACACAUAAUACCUGCAUUCCAUAAAAUUUAAUGAAUAAAACAAAACAGUGGUACAAAACCUUUUGGUAAGCCUCCUCUUGCCAGUCACCCCCGGCCGAAUGCCCCAUUUGGGCAGAGCUAUCAGUAGACACUACAAAAGUAGAAGAAUAACUCUUCGUGGACUGUGUUGACUGUGGAACUGAAGACUGUUGAUUUUGUUGGAGACCAGCUAGAGGAGCUGGUUGCAUUGAUGGCGGCUGCAUGACAGAAGAUGUUUGGAGGACAGACUGCUGAGAAGCCUGCAGCUGAGUCGGCUGUAGCAUAUUCUGUUGCUGCUGUUGCUGCUGCUGUUGUUGGAAUUGAGAUGACAUGAGCGAAUGUGGGACUGGCUGAAGCUUCUGCUUCAAAAGCUGCUGUUGGUAUUGCUGCUGCUGGUAAAUAUACUGCUGUGAAUUCUGAGACUGUUCUUGUUGCUGUAGGGAAACCAUCUGUUGCCUAGCUUGAAGUUGCUGAGAAUUUACGAACAUGUUGCUAUUGACACCUUGGCCCAUUGAGUUCCCCAGUGAGUUCUGAGAAACACUAGGCAUAUUUUGCAUGUUGUUGUUUUGUCCAAUAGUAUUCGGGAUGGAAGAUUGGUUCAAGCCAGAGACAGAUGGCAAUGUAGACGAUAGACUGGCUGAAGCCUGAACUCCAGAUGGAACAUUAUUCUGAAUAUUCUGAACCAAUAACUGUUGACGUGCUUGAGGCUGAUUCACAGCUAAGGAAUUAGGAAUUGAUUGACUUUGAUUUUGAAUUUGUGACUGCAUAACUUGAGAUGACAUACAAUAUAUACAAGUCAUGUUAGUCAAUCAAGAAACCAACCAAUUCAGUACAGCGGCAUUAACUACAAAUAGCACGAAGAGACAAUGAAUGAGAGAUAAAUGCACCGCAAGUACGACCUUAGACCAUUAUGUAUUCCAACUUGAAAUUUUCUGAGCAAGUGAUACUGGAUGAUAAUGGACAUGCAAACACAGACAAACAAUGACCACUCAUUUUCUUUUCAACAAAUACUAAAUAAAAGUCUUUGUGAAAUUUAUGUACUUGAAUUGAUCUUGAAAUUUACAAAAAUAAAUAAAUAAAGGACAAAGGUAAUCAUCUUUUCAAGCACACAUCUUCUGAUGCCAUAGGAGACUCACUUUAACAAAGAAGAAAGAUAAAAUUUGAGGCCAAAAAAGUGGGAGGAAGUUACAAAAGAUGCAAGCAGUUGUCCCUUUCUAGUAAAACUUAAGUCUUGCUGCCACUCUUUGAAAAACUUGCUCUUCACAAAUGCAAAUCUAAUUCUACUGACGAAACAAACUGAUUUUUAGUUCUUUAAUCAAUAUAUUACAAAUUUAAAAGGGAUAUUCAAAUGUGCCACUGCCCAUGGUAUAAACGUGCAUUUGAGGUUACAAAUGAGCAAGAUUGGAAAAAAUUUAUUAAAUUCAGGUUACUACAAUGAAAAUCCACAAGCAGCAUGGCUUGUAGUGAGUAUACAUGUGUACUGUGUAAAGCCCAGUAAAAGCAACAACAGGGCAAGUCCUAAAAUGUGUUAUGCUAAUGCACUUAAGUCCUAAAUUUUCAUUUUGUGCAUUUAAGCAUAAAACUUGUAAAUGUCGAUGCCCUUUAGUCAUUCCAUUAACUCCGUCAAUUUUAAGUCGGAUGGAAGAUUUCACAUGGCUUUCUUUUACGGUUUUCUUAAGCCAAAGUGGCUGUUGAUAUUAUAAAAAAAAAAAGGCCACCUAGAUUUUCUGCCCACUAAAACCUAAUGGAGCCAACAGAGCUAACAGAAGACCUAAAGUAAAUGACUAUCACAAGUCUUAGGACUUAAGUGCACAAAAUCAAAGUUUUAGGACUCAAAUGCCUCUAUCAUAACAAGUUUCAAGACUCCUGUUGUAAUGUCCCCCAAAAACUAUGUAUAUGAAAAAAUAGUACAAUUACAUAAAUGAAUAAACACUAUAGCUUUCUGGUUUCUAGUCAAUAUAUUUCUUACCUUUACCAAAAAAAUAAAAAAAUAAACACUAUAUAAGGGGAUAACGAAACGAAAAUUAUAAUUCCUACAUUAAUGAUACCAAAUAACAGGAACUUAAGUCGUACCCGGGUCAUUACUGCUAUUCCCAGCAGGGUUAGAUGGCAAAGCAUUAGGUAUGGUAUUCUGAGACUUUGUCUCCAUUGUCAGCAUCUUCAAACAUAUUUUCCUUAAAUAAUCGGACUAAAAGGGAAAGGAAGCAGAAAUCAUUUCAUCACUUAAUCAAAUUGGAAAGAAAAUGAAGCAUAUAUAAAACCUUAGCACAAUAUUACAGCAAUGAGUAAACCUAAUUUCCCUGGGGCAAAGCUAAACGUAAAUAUUUAACAGUUCCAGUUACUAUAUGGAUGCAUGCAUGAAUGAUAAAAAUUCUCAACAAAUUAUGCAAAUAAAAGAACGCUUCUCUUAAUUUUAAGCACAAGCCUAUCCAGUUUGUUUAUGCAUCCUCUAUCCACAUAGAAACUUCGUACCAAUUAAUCACAAAAGGCAUGGACAUCAU